RNAcentral lists this ribosomal RNA (887 nucleotides) under Bacillus tequilensis KCTC 13622. RNAcentral's name for it is "bacterial SSU rRNA". It matches the Rfam family "Bacterial small subunit ribosomal RNA", at positions 61 to 930 of the family's 1533-position model. The record is from RNAcentral. Lineage: Bacteria; Bacillati; Bacillota; Bacilli; Caryophanales; Bacillaceae.
GUCGAGCGGACAGAUGGGAGCUUGCUCCCUGAUGUUAGCGGCGGACGGGUGAGUAACACGUGGGUAACCUGCCUGUAAGACUGGGAUAACUCCGGGAAACCGGGGCUAAUACCGGAUGGUUGUUUGAACCGCAUGGUUCAAACAUAAAAGGUGGCUUCGGCUACCACUUACAGAUGGACCCGCGGCGCAUUAGCUAGUUGGUGAGGUAACGGCUCACCAAGGCAACGAUGCGUAGCCGACCUGAGAGGGUGAUCGGCCACACUGGGACUGAGACACGGCCCAGACUCCUACGGGAGGCAGCAGUAGGGAAUCUUCCGCAAUGGACGAAAGUCUGACGGAGCAACGCCGCGUGAGUGAUGAAGGUUUUCGGAUCGUAAAGCUCUGUUGUUAGGGAAGAACAAGUACCGUUCGAAUAGGGCGGUACCUUGACGGUACCUAACCAGAAAGCCACGGCUAACUACGUGCCAGCAGCCGCGGUAAUACGUAGGUGGCAAGCGUUGUCCGGAAUUAUUGGGCGUAAAGGGCUCGCAGGCGGUUUCUUAAGUCUGAUGUGAAAGCCCCCGGCUCAACCGGGGAGGGUCAUUGGAAACUGGGGAACUUGAGUGCAGAAGAGGAGAGUGGAAUUCCACGUGUAGCGGUGAAAUGCGUAGAGAUGUGGAGGAACACCAGUGGCGAAGGCGACUCUCUGGUCUGUAACUGACGCUGAGGAGCGAAAGCGUGGGGAGCGAACAGGAUUAGAUACCCUGGUAGUCCACGCCGUAAACGAUGAGUGCUAAGUGUUAGGGGGUUUCCGCCCCUUAGUGCUGCAGCUAACGCAUUAGCACUCCGCCUGGGGAGUACGGUCGCAAGACUGAAACUCAAAGGAAUUGACGGGGGCCCGCACAAGC